UACGUGCCAGCAGCCGCGGUAAUACGUAGGGGGCUAGGUUAUCCGGAAUUACUGGGCGUAAAGGGUGCGUAGGUGGUUUCUUAAGUCAGAGGUGAAAGCUACGGCUCAACCGUAGUAAGCCUUUGAAACUGGGAAACUUGAGUGCAGGAGAGGAGAGGGAAUUCCUAGUGUAGCGGUGAAAUGCGUAGAUAUUAGGAGGAACACCAGUUGCGAAGGCGCUCUCUGGACUGUAACUGACACUGAGGCACGAAAGCGUGGGGAGCAAACAGGAUUAGAUCCCUGGUAGUCCACGCCGUAAACGAUGAGUACUAGCUGUCGGAGGUUACCCCCUUCGGUGCGCAGCUAACGCAUUAAGUACUCCGCCUGGGAAGUACGCUCGCAAGAGUGAAACUCAAAGAAUUGACGGGGACCCGCACAAGUAGCGGAGCAUGUGGUUUAAUUCGAAGCAACGCGAAGACCUUACCUAAGCUUGACAUCCCAAUGACCUCUCCCUAAUCGGAGAUUUCCCUUCGGGGACUUGGUGACAGGUGGUGCAUGGUUGUCGUCAGCUCGUGUCGUGAGAUGUUGGGUUAAGUCCGCAACGAGCGCAACCCUUGCCUUUAGUUGCCAGCAUUAAGUUGGGCACUCUAGAGGGACUCCAGGGAUAACCUGGAGGAAGGUGGGGAUGACGUCAAAUCAUCAUGCCCCUUAUGCUUAGGCUACACACGUGCUACAAUGGGUGGUACAGAGGGCAGCCAAGUCGUGAGGCGGAGCUAAUCCUUAAAGCCAUUCUCAGUUCGGAUUGUAGGCUGAAACUCGCCUACAUGAAGCUGGAGUUCUAGUAAUCGCAGAUCAGAAUGCUGCGGUGAAUGCGUUCCCGGGUCUUGUACACACCGCCGUU
RNAcentral lists this ribosomal RNA (880 nucleotides) under uncultured Clostridia bacterium. RNAcentral describes it as "bacterial SSU rRNA". It matches the Rfam family "Bacterial small subunit ribosomal RNA", at positions 502 to 1397 of the family's 1533-position model. Lineage: Bacteria; Bacillati; Bacillota; Clostridia. The record is from RNAcentral.